This 255-nucleotide ribosomal RNA is filed under the name uncultured bacterium. RNAcentral's name for it is "partial 16S ribosomal RNA". It matches the Rfam family "Bacterial small subunit ribosomal RNA", at positions 524 to 777 of the family's 1533-position model. The record is from RNAcentral.
CACGUAGGGUGCGAGCGUUGUCCGGAAUUAUUGGGCGUAAAGAGCUCGUAGGCGGUGUGUCGCGUCGGCCGUGAAAACCUGCAGCUUAACUGUGGGCUUGCGGUCGAUACGGGCAUCACUGGAGUUCGGCAGGGGAGACUGGAAUUCCUGGUGUAGCGGUGAAAUGCGCAGAUAUCAGGAGGAACACCGAUGGCGAAGGCAGGUCUCUGGGCCGCAACUGACGCUGAGGAGCAAAAGCAUGGGGAGCGAACAGGA